GAUGGACGCUAGCGGCAGGCCUAAUACAUGCAAGUCGAACGAUAUUAUCCAGCUUGCUGGAUAUGAAAGUGGCGCACGGGUGCGUAACGCGUAUGCAACCUACCUUAUUCAGGGGGAUAGCCCGAAGAAAUUCGGAUUAACACCGCAUAAAAUCACAGUACAGCAUUGGACAAUGAUCAAAUAUUUAUAGGAAUAAGAUGGGCAUGCGUGUCAUUAGCUAGUUGGCGGGGUAACGGCCCACCAAGGCGACGAUGACUAGGGGAUCUGAGAGGAUGGCCCCCCACACUGGUACUGAGACACGGACCAGACUCCUACGGGAGGCAGCAGUAAGGAAUAUUGGUCAAUGGAGGGAACUCUGAACCAGCCAUGCCGCGUGCAGGAAGACGGCCCUCUGGGUUGUAAACUGCUUUUAUUCGGAAAUAAACCUAUUUACGUGUAAAUAGCUGAAUGUACCGAAGGAAUAAGGAUCGGCUAACUCCGUGCCAGCAGCCGCGGUAA
RNAcentral lists this ribosomal RNA (498 nucleotides) under uncultured bacterium. RNAcentral's name for it is "partial 16S ribosomal RNA". It matches the Rfam family "Bacterial small subunit ribosomal RNA", at positions 28 to 523 of the family's 1533-position model. The record is from RNAcentral.